UACGUAGGGGGCAAGCGUUGUCCGGAAUCAUUGGGCGUAAAGGGCGCGUAGGUGGUUCUGUAUGUCUACCGUGAAAGCAUACAGCUCAACUGUAUUUUGUCGGUAGAAACUGCAGGACUUGAGGCUGGGAGGGGCUGGUGGAAUUCCCUGUGUAGCGGUGAAAUGCGUAGAGAUGGGGGAGAACACUCGUGGCGAAGGCGGCCAGCUAGACCAGAUCUGACACUGAGGCGCGACAGCGUGGGGAGCAAACAGG
This 253-nucleotide ribosomal RNA is filed under the name uncultured bacterium. RNAcentral's name for it is "partial 16S ribosomal RNA". It matches the Rfam family "Bacterial small subunit ribosomal RNA", at positions 524 to 776 of the family's 1533-position model. The record is from RNAcentral.